GACGUAGGGCGCGAGCGUUGUCCGGAUUUAUUGGGCGUAAAGCGUUCGUAGGCGGCUUGUCGAGUCGACCGUGAAAACUUGGGGCUCAACCCCAAGCCUGCGGUCGAUACGGGCAGGCUAGAGUUCGGUAGGGGAGACUGGAAUUCCUGGUGCAGCGGUGAAAUGCGCAGAUAUCAGGAGGAACACCGGUGGCGAAGGCGGGGCUCUGGGCCGAUACUGACGCUGAGGAGCGAAAGCGUGGGGAGCGAACAGG
Molecule: ribosomal RNA, 253 nt
Filed under: uncultured bacterium
Lineage: Bacteria
Description: partial 16S ribosomal RNA
Rfam family: Bacterial small subunit ribosomal RNA
Source: RNAcentral